RNAcentral lists this ribosomal RNA (279 nucleotides) under uncultured bacterium. RNAcentral describes it as "partial 16S ribosomal RNA". It matches the Rfam family "Bacterial small subunit ribosomal RNA", at positions 506 to 784 of the family's 1533-position model. The record is from RNAcentral.
UGCCAGCCGCCGCGGUAAUACGUAGGGGUCAAGCGUUGUCCGGAUUUAUUGGGCGUAAAGCGUACGUAGGCGGACUGAUCAGUCAGAGGUGAAAUCCCAGGGCUUAACCCUGGAACUGCCUUUGAUACUGUCAGUCUUGAGUUCGAGAGAGGUGAGUGGAAUUCCAAGUGUAGAGGUGAAAUUCGUAGAUAUUUGGAGGAACACCAGUGGCGAAGGCGGCUCACUGGCUCGAUACUGACGCUGAGGUACGAAAGUGUGGGGAGCAAACAGGAUUAGAUA